RNAcentral lists this ribosomal RNA (521 nucleotides) under uncultured bacterium. Its description in RNAcentral is "partial 16S ribosomal RNA". It matches the Rfam family "Bacterial small subunit ribosomal RNA", at positions 355 to 864 of the family's 1533-position model. The record is from RNAcentral.
UGGGGAAUUUUGGACAAUUGGGCGAAAGCCUGAUCCAGCAAUGCCGCGUGUGUGAAGAAGGCCUUCGGGUUGUAAAGCACUUUUGUCCGGAAAGAAAUCCUUGGCUCUAAUACAGUCGGGGGAUGACGGUACCGGAAGAAUAAGCACCGGCUAACUACGUGCCAGCAGCCGCGGUAAUACGUAGGGUGCAAGCGUUAAUCGGAAUUACUGGGCGUAAAGCGUGCGCAGGCGGUUUGCUAAGACCGAUGUGAAAUCCCCGGGCUCAACCUGGGAACUGCAUUGGUGACUGGCAGGCUAGAGUAUGGCAGAGGGGGGUUAGAAUUCCACGUGUAGCAGUGAAAUGCGUAGAGAUGUGGAGGAAUACCGAUGGCGAAGGCAGCCCCCUGGGCCAAUACUGACGCUCAUGCACGAAAGCGUGGGGAGCAAAGCAGGAUUAGAUACCCUGGUAGUCCACGCCCUAAACGAUGUCAACUAGUUGUUGGGGAAUUCAUUUUCCUUAGUAACGUAGCUAACGCGUGAAG